This 462-nucleotide long non-coding RNA is filed under the name Panax ginseng (ginseng). Its description in RNAcentral is "long non-coding RNA (PGIN_LNC018250)". Lineage: Eukaryota; Viridiplantae; Streptophyta; Magnoliopsida; Apiales; Araliaceae. The record is from RNAcentral.
UCUCUUUUAUUUUUCAAGUACAAACAAGAACGAAGUUAAACCUAUGCACCCAGUAGUACAGGACUUUAGCACCAUAAUUUAUUUUAUAACAAAAAAUAAACAGAAACACUCGAAAAAAGAAUGAAGACUGUUUGUCAACUUUGCAACUCCAUAUAUCUAUCAGGUUUUCAUCACAACAAAACUUCUACAAUCCCAUAUGCUACAGAGUUUAAUAACUGCUUGCCUAAUCUUAUCAUGUAUAUAUGAUUUGCAAGAACAAUAGAAAUCCUUGAAACAAAAGAAGAAAGAAUAAUGGCACAACCCCAUGCACCCUCUUUCCACUUUUAAAGUUGCCAGCGGAAAGAAAAUAAGUUCCAAAUCUUGCAUUUCCCAAGUCUUUGUACAGUAAGUUGGACUCGGCAAGUAUAAUAUACGAUGAUACAUAUAAAAUAUAUUUAUAACUUUUUUUCCCUUCCCCUUAUC